This 557-nucleotide ribosomal RNA is filed under the name uncultured Bacteroidota bacterium. Its description in RNAcentral is "SSU rRNA". It matches the Rfam family "Bacterial small subunit ribosomal RNA", at positions 357 to 915 of the family's 1533-position model. Lineage: Bacteria; Pseudomonadati; Bacteroidota. The record is from RNAcentral.
ACGAAUAUGGUCAAUGGACGCAAGUCUGAACCAGCCAUGCCGCGUGGAGGAUGAAGGUCCUCUGGAUUGUAAACUUCUUUUAUUUGGGAAGAAACCCCCGAUUUCUAUUGGGGUUGACGGUACCAGAUGAAUAAGCACCGGCUAACUCCGUGCCAGCAGCCGCGGUAAUACGGAGGGUGCAAGCGUUAUCCGGAUUCACUGGGUUUAAAGGGUGCGUAGGCGGGUUGGUAAGUCCGUGGUGAAAUCUCCAAGCUUAACUUGGAAACUGCCGUGGAUACUAUCAAUCUUGGAUUUAGUGGAGGUGAGCGGAAUAUGUCAUGUAGCGGUGAAAUGCUUAGAUAUGACAUAGAACACCCAUUGCGAAGGCAGCUCGCUACACUAUUAUUGACGCUGAGGCACGAAAGCGUGGGGAUCAAACAGGAUUAGAUACCCUGGUAGUCCACGCCCUAAACGAUGAUUACUCGACAUCAGCGAUACACUGUUGGUGUCUGAGCGAAAGCAUUAAGUAAUCCACCUGGGAAGUACGACCGCAAGGUUGAAACUCAAAGGAAUUGACG